CAGGUGGGAGGGCUGUGCUAUUCCAGUGCCUUCUGUCCUUGGCUUUGCAGUGGACCAUGUUAGGGAUCUUUGGCAACAGGGAGUGGCAAGAGCAGCCUAUUGUUGGCCAUCCUGGGGGAGAUUCAACCUAGACCCCUUUGACUUCUACACAGACCAGCAGAUGUGGGAUGCCUUGGAGAGGACAUUCCUGACCAAGUUGGUAAGUCACUCUGAAGCCAAAUUCUUGGUCUUUGCUUGUGUCUUCCACAGGGGAGCCGACCCUUUGGG
This 267-nucleotide long non-coding RNA is filed under the name Dasypus novemcinctus (nine-banded armadillo). Its description in RNAcentral is "lncRNA (ENSDNOG00000050160.1)". The record is from RNAcentral. Lineage: Eukaryota; Metazoa; Chordata; Mammalia; Cingulata; Dasypodidae.